Molecule: non-coding RNA, 73 nt
Organism: Silurus meridionalis
Lineage: Eukaryota; Metazoa; Chordata; Actinopteri; Siluriformes; Siluridae
Source: the annotation of a RefSeq genome assembly
UCCCCUGGUGGUCUAGUGGUAAGGAUUCGGCGCUAUCAACGCUGUGGCCCGGGUUCGAUCCCCGGCCAGGAAA